Long non-coding RNA from Musa acuminata AAA Group (dessert banana), 546 nucleotides. RefSeq lists it as uncharacterized. The transcript has 4 exons. The record is from RefSeq and is a predicted model, not a curated record. NCBI's taxonomy places the organism in Eukaryota, Viridiplantae, Streptophyta, Magnoliopsida, Zingiberales, Musaceae.
CAUCUGAAGGUUUCCAAAACUCAUGGAAUAUCUGAAAAAGAUGACCCAGAAACAAUUGAGCUUUCCAAUCGGACUAAGCGAAUGUCAAUAGUUGUUGGCCCCAGCAGCUUUGCUUCAAGGAAGAAGAAGAUUAAGAAGGCUGCAACCCUUCCAAAUGGUAGUUGAAAUAAGAGCAUUUUGACCUACAAAACUCAUCACUGGUUGUGUCAUUUAUGUGAACAACAUCACGCCAAGAAGUUGCUGAGGAACAUCUGCAUGCACCAUCUCUUUCCAACCGCGCUAUCAAAUGAUCCAUCUUAAGUAAAAGUUAUUGUGAAGCGCCAGUUACUAUCCGUUUCACACUGGCAUAUGGUUUCCAGCAUAAUUAAUAGUGAAUUUGCAGUGAUGAGUUAGUGACUGCAAAAUGUGCUCCCUCUUGAGCAUGUUCAUUUACAUAUAUUAGAUCCUCUAUCGAGAUCCUCUAGUCCUUAUGUUCCUCUAAAUGCUUAUGAUUUAUUUGACUCGUUCUUAUACCAAACCUGCUUACAUUUGAAAUCCUAAUGCAUU